Molecule: ribosomal RNA, 210 nt
Filed under: uncultured bacterium
Lineage: Bacteria
Description: partial 16S ribosomal RNA
Rfam family: Bacterial small subunit ribosomal RNA
Source: RNAcentral
UACGAAGGGGGCUAGCGUUGCUCGGAAUCACUGGGCGUAAAGGGUGCGUAGGCGGGUCUUUAAGUCAGGGGUGAAAUCCUGGAGCUCAACUCCAGAACUGCCUUUGAUACUGAGAUCUUGAGUCGGGAGAGGUGAGUGGAACUGCGAGUGUAGAGGUGAAAUUCGUAGAUAUUCGCAAGAACACCAGUGGCGAAGGCGGCUCACUGGCCC